UUUGUGAUCCACCCCCAGAAUUUAACUCUGAGGCCUUAGAUAAGGAUUGGCACACUGGUCAGCUUCAGUGUCAUGAUAACCUUGUUAUGUAAUUCUCCUGCUGGGCAGCGCGUUAUAGUGUAUAGUGGUUUGCAGCUCAUCUAGGCCAAAUUUGAAUUCUGGUAAACAAGAUGUGCGCGCUUACUCCUUGCCGAUUUGAAUGUGAAGACUUUGCAUCGUAUAAACCACAAAAAUAACCUCGGGAUUUAUUAACUCUGAAUGCAUGGUGUUAGUUCCAUCAUCCGUUUAAAUUCCCACAUUCAAAAGACCCGCCGUUAGUGAAGGCAAAGGUGCCGUGCUAUUCUUUCUAAAGGGCAGAUUCCUUGUCAGCGUUUUCAGUGUAUGUGAUUCUAACGUCUAACUUUAGAUCCGCCGCUCUGUUC
This is a long non-coding RNA of Saccostrea cuccullata (small rock oyster), 422 nucleotides long. RefSeq lists it as uncharacterized. NCBI's taxonomy places the organism in Eukaryota, Metazoa, Mollusca, Bivalvia, Ostreida, Ostreidae. The record is from RefSeq and is a predicted model, not a curated record. The transcript has 3 exons.